Molecule: ribosomal RNA, 477 nt
Filed under: uncultured bacterium
Lineage: Bacteria
Description: bacterial SSU rRNA
Rfam family: Bacterial small subunit ribosomal RNA
Source: RNAcentral
UCAGGACGAACGCUGGCGGCGUGCUUAACACAUGCAAGUCGAGCGAUGAAGUCCCUCGGGACGGAUUAGCGGCGGACGGGUGAGUAACACGUGGGUAACCUGCCUCAUAGAGGGGAAUAGCCUUCCGAAAGGAAGAUUAAUACCGCAUAAGAUUGUAGUUUCGCAUGAAACAGCAAUUAAAGGACGUAAUCCGCUAUGAGAUGGACCCGCGUCGCAUUAGCUAGUUGGUGAGGUAACGGCUCACCAAGGCGACGAUGCGUAGCCGACCUGAGAGGGUGAUCGGCCACAUUGGGACUGAGACACGGCCCAGACUCCUACGGGAGGCAGCAGUGGGGAAUAUUGCACAAUGGGGGAAACCCUGAUGCAGCAACGCCCGCGUGAGUGAUGACGGUCUUCGGAUUGUAAAGCUCUGUCUUCAGGGACGAUAAUGACGGUACCUGAGGAGGAAGCCACGGCUAACUACGUGCCAGCAGCAGC